This 298-nucleotide ribosomal RNA is filed under the name uncultured bacterium. Its description in RNAcentral is "partial 16S ribosomal RNA". It matches the Rfam family "Bacterial small subunit ribosomal RNA", at positions 1078 to 1382 of the family's 1533-position model. The record is from RNAcentral.
GGUAGUCCGCACGAGCGCACCCUCGCCCUUAGUUGCCAGCAUUGAGUUGGGCACUCUAGGGGGACUGCCGGUGAUAAGCCGAGAGGAAGGUGGGGAUGACGUCAAGUCCUCAUGGCCCUUACGGGCUGGGCUACACACGUGCUACAAUGGCGGUGACAGUGGGCAGCGAACCCGCAAGGGGGAGCUAAUCUCCAAAAGCCGUCUCAGUUCGGAUUGUUCUCUGCAACUCGAGAGCAUGAAGUUGGAAUCGCUAGUAAUCGCGUAACAGCAUGACGCGGUGAAUACGUUCCCGGGCCUU